RNAcentral lists this transfer RNA (73 nucleotides) under Actinomycetota bacterium. RNAcentral's name for it is "tRNA-Ile". It matches the Rfam family "tRNA". Rfam says of the family: Transfer RNA (tRNA) molecules are approximately 80 nucleotides in length. Their secondary structure includes four short double-helical elements and three loops (D, anti-codon, and T loops). Further hydrogen bonds mediate the characteristic L-shaped molecular structure. tRNAs have two regions of fundamental functional importance: the anti-codon, which is responsible for specific mRNA codon recognition, and the 3' end, to which the tRNAs corresponding amino acid is attached (by aminoacyl-tRNA synthetases). tRNAs cope with the degeneracy of the genetic code in two manners: having more than one tRNA (with a specific anti-codon) for a particular amino acid; and 'wobble' base-pairing, i.e. permitting non-standard base-pairing at the 3rd anti-codon position. The record is from RNAcentral. Lineage: Bacteria; Bacillati; Actinomycetota.
GGGCCCGUAGCUCAGCGGUCAGAGCAGUGGACUCAUAAUCCAUUGGUCGCUGGUUCGAAUCCAGCCGGGCCCA